Molecule: ribosomal RNA, 465 nt
Filed under: uncultured bacterium
Lineage: Bacteria
Description: partial 16S ribosomal RNA
Rfam family: Bacterial small subunit ribosomal RNA
Source: RNAcentral
CCUACGGGUGGCAGCAGUAGGGAAUCUUCCACAAUGGGCGAAAGCCUGAUGGAGCAACGCCGCGUGGGUGAAGAAGGUCUUCGGAUCGUAAAACCCUGUUGUUAGAGAAGAACGUGCGUGGGAGUAACUGUUCACGUUUCGACGGUAUCUAACCAGAAAGCCCCGGCUAACUACGUGCCAGCAGCCGCGGUAAUACGUAGGUUGCAAGCGUUAUCCGGAAUUAUUGGGCGUAAAGGGAACGCAGGCGGUCUGUUAAGUCUGAUGUGAAAGCCUUCGGCUUAACCGGGGUAGUGCAUUGGAAACUGGGAGACUUGAGUGCAGAAGAGGAGAGUGGAAUUCCAGGUGUAGCGGUGAAAUGCGUAGAUAUAUGGAAGAACACCAGUGGCGAAAGCGGCUAUCUGGUCCGUAACUGACGCUGAGGUUCGAAAGCGUGGGUAGCAAACAGGAUUAGAUACCCUUGUAGUC